RNAcentral lists this ribosomal RNA (1467 nucleotides) under Escherichia coli. RNAcentral's name for it is "partial 23S ribosomal RNA". It matches the Rfam family "Bacterial large subunit ribosomal RNA", at positions 1 to 1512 of the family's 2925-position model. Lineage: Bacteria; Pseudomonadati; Pseudomonadota; Gammaproteobacteria; Enterobacterales; Enterobacteriaceae. The record is from RNAcentral.
GGUUAAGCGACUAAGCGUACACGGUGGAUGCCCUGGCAGUCAGAGGCGAUGAAGGACGUGCUAAUCUGCGAUAAGCGUCGGUAAGGUGAUAUGAACCGUUAUAACCGGCGAUUUCCGAAUGGGGAAACCCAGUGUGAUUCGUCACACUAUCAUUAACUGAAUCCAUAGGUUAAUGAGGCGAACCGGGGGAACUGAAACAUCUAAGUACCCCGAGGAAAAGAAAUCAACCGAGAUUCCCCCAGUAGCGGCGAGCGAACGGGGAGCAGCCCAGAGCCUGAAUCAGUGUGUGUGUUAGUGGAAGCGUCUGGAAAGGCGCGCGAUACAGGGUGACAGCCCCGUACACAAAAAUGCACAUACUGUGAGCUCGAUGAGUAGGGCGGGACACGUGGUAUCCUGUCUGAAUAUGGGGGGACCAUCCUCCAAGGCUAAAUACUCCUGACUGACCGAUAGUGAACCAGUACCGUGAGGGAAAGGCGAAAAGAACCCCGGCGAGGGGAGUGAAAAAGAACCUGAAACCGUGUACGUACAAGCAGUGGGAGCACGCUUAGGCGUGUGACUGCGUACCUUUUGUAUAAUGGGUCAGCGACUUAUAUUCUGUAGCAAGGUUAACCGAAUAGGGGAGCCGAAGGGAAACCGAGUCUUAACUGGGCGUUAAGUUGCAGGGUAUAGACCCGAAACCCGGUGAUCUAGCCAUGGGCAGGUUGAAGGUUGGGUAACACUAACUGGAGGACCGAACCGACUAAUGUUGAAAAAUUAGCGGAUGACUUGUGGCUGGGGGUGAAAGGCCAAUCAAACCGGGAGAUAGCUGGUUCUCCCCGAAAGCUAUUUAGGUAGCGCCUCGUGAAUUCAUCUCCGGGGGUAGAGCACUGUUUCGGCAAGGGGGUCAUCCCGACUUACCAACCCGAUGCAAACUGCGAAUACCGGAGAAUGUUAUCACGGGAGACACACGGCGGGUGCUAACGUCCGUCGUGAAGAGGGAAACAACCCAGACCGCCAGCUAAGGUCCCAAAGUCAUGGUUAAGUGGGAAACGAUGUGGGAAGGCCCAGACAGCCAGGAUGUUGGCUUAGAAGCAGCCAUCAUUUAAAGAAAGCGUAAUAGCUCACUGGUCGAGUCGGCCUGCGCGGAAGAUGUAACGGGGCUAAACCAUGCACCGAAGCUGCGGCAGCGACGCUUAUGCGUUGUUGGGUAGGGGAGCGUUCUGUAAGCCUGUGAAGGUGUACUGUGAGGUAUGCUGGAGGUAUCAGAAGUGCGAAUGCUGACAUAAGUAACGAUAAAGCGGGUGAAAAGCCCGCUCGCCGGAAGACCAAGGGUUCCUGUCCAACGUUAAUCGGGGCAGGGUGAGUCGACCCCUAAGGCGAGGCCGAAAGGCGUAGUCGAUGGGAAACAGGUUAAUAUUCCUGUACUUGGUGUUACUGCGAAGGGGGGACGGAGAAGGCUAUGUUGGCCGGGCGACGGUUGUCCCGGUU